This 497-nucleotide ribosomal RNA is filed under the name uncultured bacterium. RNAcentral describes it as "partial 16S ribosomal RNA". It matches the Rfam family "Bacterial small subunit ribosomal RNA", at positions 28 to 507 of the family's 1533-position model. The record is from RNAcentral.
GGUGAACGCUGGCGGCGUGCCUAAUACAUGCAAGUCGAGCGAACAGACGAGGAGCUUGCUCCUCUGACGUUAGCGGCGGACGGGUGAGUAACACGUGGAUAACCUACCUAUAAGACUGGGAUAACUUCGGGAAACCGGAGCUAAUACCGGAUAAUAUAUUGAACCGCAUGAUUCAAUAGUGAAAGACGGUUUUGCUGUCACUUAUAGAUGGAUCCGCGCCGCAUUAGCUAGUUGGUAAGGUAACGGCUUACCAAGGCAACGAUGCGUAGCCGACCUGAGAGGGUGAUCGGCCACACUGGAACUGAGACACGGUCCAGACUCCUACGGGAGGCAGCAGUAGGGAAUCUUCCGCAAUGGGCGAAAGCCUGACGGAGCAACGCCGCGUGAGUGAUGAAGGUCUUCGGAUCGUAAAACUCUGUUAUUAGGGAAGAACAAAUGUGUAAGUAACUAUGCACGUCUUGACGGUACCUAAUCAGAAAGCCACGGCUAACUACGUG